Molecule: long non-coding RNA, 362 nt
Filed under: Coffea arabica (coffee)
Lineage: Eukaryota; Viridiplantae; Streptophyta; Magnoliopsida; Gentianales; Rubiaceae
Description: long non-coding RNA (CARA_LNC007032)
Source: RNAcentral
AGGUUUCUUGAUUCCGUCCCUUCUUCUAUAAUUCACAGCUUUUUACUCGUACUGAAUUUGAAAUCUAUCAAUAAUUUUCAAUAAAGGACAAUAAACAGCUACAUGCAUGUAGACAAAUCAAAUCAAUUCAGUUUGCUUUUUUUUUGUGCCUUUUUCUUGUAUCAAAUGACUUUCGUUCUUUGUUUUUCAUUUUGCUUAAAUUUUGUUUAUUUCUUUAAACUUCCUAUGCAGUUAGAAAUUUUCUUUGAAUUUAAAUCUUUUCUCUUUUUUUUAUUUAAUUCUUUCUAGCACCUUUUUUGCUUUAUUUAAAGCUUCUCUCUCUCUCUCUUCUACAUAUCAAUAACACUUUCUACAUCCCCUAC